RNAcentral lists this ribosomal RNA (2430 nucleotides) under Triticum aestivum (bread wheat). RNAcentral's name for it is "partial small subunit ribosomal RNA". The record is from RNAcentral. Lineage: Eukaryota; Viridiplantae; Streptophyta; Magnoliopsida; Poales; Poaceae.
AGUGCAGGCCAGGGCUCCUCUGGGGUUGAGAGUGACUGACCAGUCGGCCGCCCCAGAGCCAACCACCCCCACCCCCACCCCAACCCCCCACACACGGCAGCGAUUCCAUUCCCCACCCCACCAGCAAAAGCGUUGCUUGGUGUCCGCCGAAACAAAAGUCGCCGUCGCCUCGCCUCGCCUUCGCCGUCAUCUCCUACGCCCCGCCCGUUUGACUCCCUCCAUCUCCUUCCGUUCCCCUCUCCCUUCCCUUUCCUUUCCUUUCCUUCCCUUCGUCUCCUAGGUUUAGCGCCCCACGCGAACCCCACCGUACCAACCCACCAGCGGGCGUCCCUCCCGCAGCGGUUGCUCUGUCGGCUUCCUGCUGCCCCCGCUCCCUUCAUGGUGGCCGCCCAAUCGUGAGGCUGCGCUCAACGAUCAGAAGAUGAGGCGCUAUGCCGCUGUGCUGAGGGUCGCUGUGGUGGGCCUGUUGGUGCUCGGCCUCGCCCUCCCUCCGCUGGCCGCGGCGCUGCGGCCUCUCAGGGAGCGCGUCGCGUCCGCCGGAGCCGCGGCCUCCUCCGGAUCGUGGGCCGAUGAGCAUGCAUUCUACAAGAGGGAUGAUAAUGACAUGAGCCCAUAUUCAUGGAAUAUUACAGGAACAUAUAAAGGAAGUUGGAGCUUUGCUGGUGCUACAAAUGGUUCUUCUAGGUUUCUUGAGUUCAUGACAUCUAAAGGCGACUCGGUUUUGGAAUUACUGAGUACACCAACAAAGAUAAGCGGGGUACACUAUGUUCAGGGAACAAUAACAUUCCAUGAUGUUAUUGACAAAUCACAUGAUCGUGGGGCUGCUCAAAUAAGGUUAGAAGGCGUGUAUAUAUGGCCUUUUAGACAACUUCGUAUGGUGGCAAACAGCGGUGCAGAUGGUGAACCGCUUCAAGAAGAGGAUUACUUCUUGUCAAAUCCAUACCAUCUGCUGCGGAUUUUCUCCUCUCAAGUUUUCCAAGAUUCUUCUGAAGAGAAGAACCGAAGGAAGAACUCUCUCACACAUGACAUGGAGAAACACUGUAACAUAGAAAUAGCCGCUAAAGUGGUCCGGGUGUCAACUAACCAAAAUGGUACUGAAUUUUCUUAUGAAGGAGAGCAUGAGAAGUACCGAUUGGAGGGUUUGAUGGAAAGUCCAUCAGUGGAUGAUGAUGGAGAAUGCUUCUCAUCUAUCUUGCUAAAUUCAACAUCGCUGAAUGUUGAAGCUUAUUACAACAAAGCAGUUAACUAUACACUGAUGGUCACUUUUAUCUCUUUUCUCCAAGUUUUGCUGCUUAUUAGACAAAUGGAACACAGCAACACCCAGUCAGGAGCUGCUAAGGUGUCUAUUAUUAUGAUUGGGCAACAAGCUAUCAUGGAUGCAUAUCUUUGUCUACUGCAUCUGACUGCUGGAAUAUUGGUUGAGUCACUCUUUAAUGCCUUUGCAACAGCUGCCUUCUUCAAAUUCGUUGUUUUUUCUAUUUUUGAGAUGAGGUAUCUUCUUGCUAUAUGGAAAGCAAGUAGGCCAUUGAACAGUGGAGAAGGUUGGGAAAUAAUGAGGCGUGAACUUUCUGUUCUUUACAGCCGCUUUUACGGCAUUCUUUUGGGAGGAAUCCUUCUCAUGUAUGAGUUGCACAAUUUCUUGCGCCCGCUUCUUUUCCUGAUGUACUCCUUUUGGAUUCCUCAAAUUGUCACGAAUGUCAUCCGGGAUACAAGAAAACCGCUGCACCCUCAGUAUAUUUUAGGCAUGACUGCUACCCGGGUCGCCAUCCCGCUAUAUAUAUUUGGUUGUCCUAGCAACUUCAUGCGCAUUGAGCCCGACAAGAAAUGGUGCAUAGCUGUGACGGCAUUCAUGGGUAUCCAAGCAGCUGUGCUGCUGCUCCAGCACUAUCUUGGUUCUCGCUGCUUUAUUCCCCGCCAGAUCCUCCCUGAGAAAUACUGCUACCACAGGAAGGUAGAGGAUAGCACAAAUCAGCCCAUUGAUUGUGUAAUCUGCAUGACUACAAUUGAUCUCUCCCAAAGAACAAGUGAAUACAUGGUGGCACCGUGCGAGCAUAUAUUCCACUCGGGCUGUUUACAACGUUGGAUGGACAUCAAGAUGGAGUGCCCAACUUGCAGGCGCUCUCUACCACCAGCUUAGAGGAACAAUACUUUGUACAAUAUAUAGUUGACAAAAAGUAGGUAGCCCAGCCAAAGUGCCUAUAUCUCAGCUCGAGCUCAGAUGCGACCUUAAUCCUCCCCAUGUAUACUGGCCGGUAUAAAUAUUGUAUUUGAAACCACUUUUCUGACCCAUGGAGACCCUUCUCCCCGGCAUUCCCUAUUUAGGGCUGCAGGCGCACAGCCACUCCAGCAAGAUGGGCCGGCCCGUUUACAUUUUUCCUUGUCUGUUUUUUAUACCGUGCAAAAAAGCGUACAAGGCUGGGAUUCGAUCAU